Molecule: long non-coding RNA, 617 nt
Organism: Oncorhynchus tshawytscha (Chinook salmon)
Lineage: Eukaryota; Metazoa; Chordata; Actinopteri; Salmoniformes; Salmonidae
Source: Ensembl
ACAGGUUAAUGUUAGUGGAUUACUCAGGAACAGGUUAAUGUUAAAGUGGAUUACUCAGGAACAGGUUAAUGUUAGUAUUUCUCAGGAACAGGUUAAUGUUAGUAUUUCUCAGGAACAGGUUAAUGUUAGUAUUACUCAGGAACAGGUUAAUGUUAGUGGAUUACUCAGGAACAGGUUAAUGUUAGUGGAUUACUCAGGAACAGGUUAAUGUUAGUGGAUUACUCAGGAACAGGUUAAUGUUAAAGUGGAUUACUCAGGAACAGGUUAAUGUUAGUGGAUUACUCAGGAACAGGUUAAUGUUAGUGGAUUACUCAGGAACAGGUUAAUGUUAGUGGAUUACUCAGGAACAGGUUAAUGUUAGUGGAUUACUCAGGAACAGGUUAAUGUUAGUGGAUUACUCAGGAACAGGUUAAUGUUAAAGUGGAUUACUCAGGAACAGGUUAAUGUUAGUGGAUUACUCAGGAACAGGUUAAUGUUAAAGUGGAUUACUCAGGAACAGGUUAAUGUUAGUGGAUUACUCAGGAACAGGUUAAUGUUAAAGUGGAUUACUCAGGAACAGGUUAAUGUUAGUGGAUUACUCAGGAACAGGUUAAUGUUAAAGUGGAUUACUCAGGAAC